AUGGGCACGAAUUCGUACGCCAAGAAAGGGGACAUACUGUCGAGGUUCCUGCUGGAGAGGGAGAAAGACCCCGGCUGCUUCGGCAACAAGUACCUGCGGGACAUCAUCCUCAACUUCGUGAUCGCCGGCCGCGACACGACGGCGGGGACGCUCUCGUGGUUCCUCCACGUGCUCUGCAGAGACCAGCGCAUCCAGGACAAGAUCGCGCGGGAGGUGCGGGAGGCCACCAGUACCGGCGACCGCCAGGACGCGGGCGGCGUGGAAGAGUUCACGGCGCGCCUGACCGAAGACGCCAUCGGCAGCAUGCACUACCUCCACGCCGCGCUCACGGAGACCCUCCGGCUGUACCCGGCGGUGCCCGUCGACGUCAAGUGCUGCUUCUCGGAUGACACGCUGCCGGACGGGCACACCGUGAGGAGAGGGGACAUGGUCAACUACCAGCCCUUCGCCAUGGGCCGGAUGAAGUUCCUAUGGGGCGACGACGCCGAGGAGUUCAGGCCGGAGAGGUGGCUCGACGGUGACGGCGUGUUCGUCCCGGAGAGCCCCUACAAGUUCACCGCUUUCCAGGCGGGGCCUCGGAUCUGCUUGGGAAAGGAGUUCGCCUACAGGCAGAUGAAGAUAUUUGCAGCCACUCUUCUCUACCUCUUCAGGUUUGAGAUGUGGGACCGCGGCUCGACGGUGGGCUACCGUCCGAUGCUCACGCUCAAAAUGGACGGCCCGCUCUAUGUUCGUGCGUCGCCCCGUCGAUCUAUCGGGAACUAG
Molecule: ribosomal RNA, 762 nt
Filed under: Triticum aestivum (bread wheat)
Lineage: Eukaryota; Viridiplantae; Streptophyta; Magnoliopsida; Poales; Poaceae
Description: partial small subunit ribosomal RNA
Source: RNAcentral